UUGGAGGGCAAGUCUGGUGCCAGCAGCCGCGGUAAUUCCAGCUCCAAUAGCGUAUAUUAAAGUUGUUGCAGUUAAAGAGCUCGUAGUUGAAUUUCGGGAUCAAUCUGUUGGUUGUGCCUUUGGUACGUACUAGCCUAUUGAUUUCUCCCUUCUGACGAACCAUGAUGUCAUUAAUUUGGUGUCAUGGGGAAUCAGGACUGUUACUUUGAAAAAAUUAGAGUGUUUAAAGCAGGCUCACGCUUGAAUACAUUAGCAUGGAAUAAUGAAAUAGGACGUUUUGAUUCUAUUUUGUUGGUUUCUAGGAUCGACGUAAUGAUUAAUAGGGAUAGUUGGGGGCAUUAGUAUUCAAUUGUCAGAGGUGAAACUCUUGGAUUUAUUGAAGACUAACUACUGCGAAAGCAUUUGCCAAGGAUGUUUUCAUUAAUCAAGGACGAAAGUUAGGGGAUCGAAGACGAUCAGAUACCGUCGUAGUCUUAACCAUAAACUAUGCCGACUAGGGAUCGGAUGAUGUUAAUUUUUUAAUGACUCAUUCGGCGCCUUACGGGAAACCAAAGUGUUUGGGUUC
This 565-nucleotide ribosomal RNA is filed under the name uncultured Glomeromycotina. RNAcentral's name for it is "SSU rRNA". It matches the Rfam family "Eukaryotic small subunit ribosomal RNA", at positions 548 to 1114 of the family's 1831-position model. Lineage: Eukaryota; Fungi; Glomeromycota. The record is from RNAcentral.